GUAUUUUGAAUUAGUUAUUCAUAAUAUUUUUCAGACUAAAGGUUAAGUUAAGUUGAUGUUUAGUUAUUCGCAAGGAAUAACUGACAUUGCACACAAGGUGGAUAUGGAUUUUAAAAAGUGCCAUAAAACACUUAUUAUGAAUGAUCCUUCCGCAGGUUCACCUACGGAAA
Molecule: unclassified non-coding RNA, 170 nt
Filed under: uncultured fungus
Lineage: Eukaryota; Fungi
Description: sequence contains ITS1
Source: RNAcentral